ACGGGUGAGUAAUGUAUCGGAACAUGUCCGGAAGUGGGGGAUAACGUAGCGAAAGUUACGCUAAUACCGCAUAUGCCCUGAGGGGGAAAGGUGGGGAUCGUAAGACCUAUCGCUUUCGGAGUGGCCGAUAUCAGAUUAGCUAGUUGGUGGGGUAAAGGCCUACCAAGGCGACGAUCUGUAGCUGGUCUGAGAGGACGACCAGCCACACUGGGACUGAGACACGGCCCAGACUCCUACGGGAGGCAGCAGUGGGGAAUUUUGGACAAUGGGGGCAACCCUGAUCCAGCCAUGCCGCGUGAGUGAAGAAGGCCUUCGGGUUGUAAAGCUCUUUCGGACGGAAAGAAAUCGCCAUUUCUAAUACAAGUGGUGGAUGACGGUACCGUCAUAAGAAGCACCGGCUAACUACGUGCCAGCAGCCGCGGUAAUACGUAGGGUGCGAGCGUUAAUCGGAAUUACUGGGCGUAAAGCGUGCGCAGGCGGUUUUGUAAGACAGGUGUGAAAUCCCCGGGCUUAACCUGGGAACUGCAUUUGUGACUGCAAGGCUAGAGUGUGGCAGAGGGGGGUAGAAUUCCACGUGUAGCAGUGA
Molecule: ribosomal RNA, 586 nt
Filed under: uncultured bacterium
Lineage: Bacteria
Description: bacterial SSU rRNA
Rfam family: Bacterial small subunit ribosomal RNA
Source: RNAcentral